UCUCCGUUGGUGAACCAGCGGAGGGAUCAUUACAGAGUUGCAAAACUCCCAAACCCUUGUGAACGUUACCUAUCCCGUUGCUUCGGCGGGCGGCCCGGGCCCCGCGCCCGGCGCCCCCCGGCCCCCCGUGGGCGCCCGCCGGAGGUAAACCAAACCUUUGAAUUGCAUGGCCUCUCUGAGUCUUCUGUACUGAAUAAGUCAAAACUUUCAACAACGGAUCUCUUGGUUCUG
This 231-nucleotide unclassified non-coding RNA is filed under the name plant metagenome. Its description in RNAcentral is "partial contains small subunit ribosomal RNA, internal transcribed spacer 1, and 5.8S ribosomal RNA". The record is from RNAcentral.